CUCAUAUUUUCUACUGGCCUGGAAGGGAUUGAUAGUAGAGCAAUGGUGAAGGUAAUGCAGGGACACCUUGACAGAGCAGAUUACAGGGAAACAUUACAAUAGCAGAUUCGCGUGCAUCUCGGUGUUAUUUCGAGUGUACAACAUAUUAAUACAAUGCCCUUUUGUAUUUAAGUGUAGGUGCUAGCAUUUCAAGCAAUGUCAUUUUUUU
RNAcentral lists this long non-coding RNA (208 nucleotides) under Aquilegia coerulea. Its description in RNAcentral is "long non-coding RNA (ACOE_LNC000560)". The record is from RNAcentral. Lineage: Eukaryota; Viridiplantae; Streptophyta; Magnoliopsida; Ranunculales; Ranunculaceae.